RNAcentral lists this unclassified non-coding RNA (329 nucleotides) under Hevea brasiliensis (rubber tree). The record is from RNAcentral. Lineage: Eukaryota; Viridiplantae; Streptophyta; Magnoliopsida; Malpighiales; Euphorbiaceae.
GUCGUGGGUUUGUGGUCUUCCAUGCCAAGUUUGCUGAGAAUUACCGACUCUACUCUCGUAGUCAUUUUGUCAAAGGGAUCGAGUUGAUGAUUUUGCUCAUUGUUUACCAAAUAUUCGGCCAGCACUAUAGAUCUGGAGUUGCUUACAUAUUCAUCACUGCUUCUAUGUGGUUUAUGGUUGGCACAUGGCUUUUCGCCCCGUUCUUAUUUAAUCCUUCAGGAUUUGAGUGGCAGAAAAUUGUUGAAGACUGGACCGACUGGCACAAGUGGAUCAGCAACUAUGGUGGUAUUGGUGUGUCAACGCAGAAAAGCUGGGAAUCUUGGUGGGAG